CCUACGGGAGGCAGCAGUGAGGAAUAUUGGUCAAUGGGCGCGAGCCUGAACCAGCCAAGUAGCGUGAAGGAUGACUGCCCUACGGGUUGUAAACUUCUUUUAUAAAGGAAUAAAGUGAGGCAAGUGUGCCUUUUUGUAUGUACUUUAUGAAUAAGGAUCGGCUAACUCCGUGCCAGCAGCCGCGGUAAUAUGGAGGAUCCGAGCGUUAUCCGGAUUUAUUGGGUUUAAAGGGAGCGUAGAUGGGUUGUUAAGUCAGUUGUGAAAGUUUGCGGCUCAACCGUAAAAUUGCAAUUGAUACUGGCAGCCUUGAGUACAGUUGAGGUAGGCGGAAUUCGAGGUGUAGCGGUGAAAUGCGUAGAUAUCUCGAAGAACUCCGAUUGCGAAGGCAGCUUACUAAGCUGCCACUGACAUUGAUGCUCGAAAGUGUGGGUAUCAAACAGGAUUAGAUACCCCGGUAGUC
Molecule: ribosomal RNA, 460 nt
Filed under: uncultured bacterium
Lineage: Bacteria
Description: partial 16S ribosomal RNA
Rfam family: Bacterial small subunit ribosomal RNA
Source: RNAcentral